UACGUAGGGGGCAAGCGUUAUCCGGAUUUACUGGGUGUAAAGGGAGCGUAGACGGCCAGACAAGUCUGAAGUGAAAAUCCAGCGCUUAACGUUGGAAGUGCUUUGGAAACUGCCGGGCAGGAGUGCAGGAGGAGCAGGCGGAAUUCCUAGUGUAGCGGUGAAAUGCGUAGAUAUUAGGAGGAACACCAGUGGCGAAGGCGGCCUGCUGGACUGCAACUGACGUUGAGGCUCGAAGGCGUGGGGAGCAAACAGG
This 253-nucleotide ribosomal RNA is filed under the name uncultured bacterium. Its description in RNAcentral is "partial 16S ribosomal RNA". It matches the Rfam family "Bacterial small subunit ribosomal RNA", at positions 524 to 776 of the family's 1533-position model. The record is from RNAcentral.